GAGAUAUUAGUAUAAUAAUACAUAACUUUGUCAAGGUUAAACUACAGGCGAAACUCCUGUAUAUCUCU
RNAcentral lists this transfer RNA (68 nucleotides) under Crocidura sp. JAE-2015. Its description in RNAcentral is "tRNA-Asp". It matches the Rfam family "tRNA". From Rfam's summary of the family: Transfer RNA (tRNA) molecules are approximately 80 nucleotides in length. Their secondary structure includes four short double-helical elements and three loops (D, anti-codon, and T loops). Lineage: Eukaryota; Metazoa; Chordata; Mammalia; Eulipotyphla; Soricidae. The record is from RNAcentral.